GAUGAACGCUGGCGGCGUGCCUAAUACAUGCCAGUCGAGCGAACGGACGAGAAGCUUGCUUCUCUGAUGUUAGCGGCGGACGGGUGAGUAACACGUGGAUAACCUACCUAUAAGACUGGGAUAACUUCGGGAAACCGGAGCUAAUACCGGAUAAUAUUUUGAACCGCAUGGUUCAAAAGUGAAAGACGGUCUUGCUGUCACUUAUAGAUGGAUCCGCGCUGCAUUAGCUAGUUGGUAAGGUAACGGCUUACCAAGGCAACGAUGCAUAGCCGACCUGAGAGGGUGAUCGGCCACACUGGAACUGAGACACGGUCCAGACUCCUACGGGAGGCAGCAUUAGGGAAUCUUCCGCAAUGGGCGAAAGCCUGACGGAGCAACGCCGCGUGAGUGAUGAAGGUCUUCGGAUCGUAAAACUCUGUUAUUAGGGAAGAACAUAUGUGUAAGUAACUGUGCACAUCUUGACGGUACCUAAUCAGAAAGCCACGGCUAACUACGUG
RNAcentral lists this ribosomal RNA (497 nucleotides) under uncultured bacterium. Its description in RNAcentral is "partial 16S ribosomal RNA". It matches the Rfam family "Bacterial small subunit ribosomal RNA", at positions 28 to 507 of the family's 1533-position model. The record is from RNAcentral.